RNAcentral lists this ribosomal RNA (492 nucleotides) under uncultured bacterium. Its description in RNAcentral is "partial 16S ribosomal RNA". It matches the Rfam family "Bacterial small subunit ribosomal RNA", at positions 29 to 507 of the family's 1533-position model. The record is from RNAcentral.
AGUGAACGCUGGCGGUAGGCCUAACACAUGCAAGUCGAACGGCAGCACAGUAAGAGCUUGCUCUUACGGGUGGCGAGUGGCGGACGGGUGAGGAAUACAUCGGAAUCUACUUUUUCGUGGGGGAUAACGUAGGGAAACUUACGCUAAUACCGCAUACGACCUACGGGUGAAAGCAGGGGAUCUUCGGACCUUGCGCGAUUGAAUGAGCCGAUGUCGGAUUAGCUAGUUGGCGGGGUAAAGGCCCACCAAGGCGACGAUCCGUAGCUGGUCUGAGAGGAUGAUCAGCCACACUGGAACUGAGACACGGUCCAGACUCCUACGGGAGGCGGCAGUGGGGAAUAUUGGACAAUGGGCGCAAGCCUGAUCCAGCCAUACCGCGUGGGUGAAGAAGGCCUUCGGGUUGUAAAGCCCUUUUGUUGGGAAAGAAAAGCAGCAGGUUAAUACCCCGCUGUUCUGACGGUACCAAAAGAAUAAGCACCGGCUAACUUCGUG